ACCUUCAGUAGUGUAGUGGUAACGCCUUGACUUGUAAUCAUAAGUCCUAGGUUCGACUCCCGGUCGGGGUA
Non-coding RNA from Halocaridina rubra (Hawaiian volcano shrimp), 71 nucleotides. Lineage: Eukaryota; Metazoa; Arthropoda; Malacostraca; Decapoda; Atyidae. The record is from the annotation of a GenBank genome assembly.